AUUGAGUUGACAGAUUAAUAAUGUAUUAAAUUUAGAAUUUAAUUAUGUAUGUCUUUACAUACACUUAAUA
This 70-nucleotide transfer RNA is filed under the name Signoretia aureola. Its description in RNAcentral is "tRNA-Leu". Lineage: Eukaryota; Metazoa; Arthropoda; Insecta; Hemiptera; Cicadellidae. The record is from RNAcentral.